This 254-nucleotide ribosomal RNA is filed under the name uncultured bacterium. Its description in RNAcentral is "partial 16S ribosomal RNA". It matches the Rfam family "Bacterial small subunit ribosomal RNA", at positions 524 to 776 of the family's 1533-position model. The record is from RNAcentral.
UACAGAGGGUGCGAGCGUUGUUCGGAAUUACUGGGCGUAAAGCGCGCGCAGGCGGCUCUUUAAGUCUUGUGGUCAAAUGCCGGGGCUCAACCCCGAGUGCGCCAGAGAUACUGGGGAGCUAGAGACAGGUAGAGGCAAGCGGAAUUCCGGGUGUAGCGGUGGAAUGCGUAGAGAUCCGGAAGAACACCGGAGGCGAAGGCGGCUUGCUGGGCCUGGUCUGACGCUGAGGCGCGAAAGCGUGGGGAGCAAACAGG